This 301-nucleotide ribosomal RNA is filed under the name uncultured bacterium. RNAcentral describes it as "partial 16S ribosomal RNA". It matches the Rfam family "Bacterial small subunit ribosomal RNA", at positions 509 to 808 of the family's 1533-position model. The record is from RNAcentral.
CAGUCGCCGCGGGAAUACGUAGGUCCCGAGCGUUGUCCGGAUUUAUUGGGCGUAAAGCGAGCGCAGGCGGUUAGAUAAGUCUGAAGUUAAAGGCUGUGGCUUAACCAUAGUACGCUUUGGAAACUGUUUAACUUGAGUGCAAGAGGGGAGAGUGGAAUCCCAUGUGUAGCGGUGAAAUGCGUAGAUAUAUGGAGGAACACCGGUGGCGAAAGCGGCUCUCUGGCUUGUAACUGACGCUGAGGCUCGAAAGCGUGGGGCGCAAACAGGAUUAGAUACCCCGGUAGUCCCUGUCUCUUAUACC